UUUUUUUUUUUCAAAGCAGCCCAUGCUGGUGUCUGUAGCCGCAUGCCGUGCCUGAGCCUGUGAGGAAGCCCAUAAUGGCCAAUGUCUGGGACAGCUGACAGACAUGUUAGCAGGGCCGGGGUCAUGGACAUCCACGAAGACGUUCUGGAGCCCAUUGGGGGAGCAGGCCCCGUUCUGAAGGAAACUGGGUCCUCCUCGUUGUCCAGAGCCCCCGCAAGGAGUCUGGAGUCUGUGCAGAGUGGAGAAGCAGGGCUCCGAGGCCAGGGAGCAGGGUGGCAAAGUUGGCGUGUACCCGGCUGAGGGCAGAGGGCAGAGGCGAGCAGAUUGGAACAGCCCUGGCGGGAGGAGAAAACAGACAGAGACUCCCGGAUCCUGGCAGUGACCCAAGGUCUCCAAAGAUGAUCAUGGGACACCACGAUGUCUCCACCUGGAUUAUGAUGAUGCUGACCACUGGGCAAGAUGACCCAGUGCAACACCAGCUACCAGGACCCAGCCCAGACUGUGGACACUGGAGAAUUGAUUGUACCACUUUUGCUAGACAAAAUAAGGUUCCCCUUGGUUGGCAGAAACAACCAAGCACCAGUUGCUGACUCCAAAUGACUGUGGAUUCUGGACUUGCUAAAAAUGGAUAUGGACCAGUCUACCUGAUGUGAAUGCUCCUUGGCUCCUCAACAGAGUCCACAAACCAGAUGCUCCUGAUAAAUACCCCGUUUCCUGAAUUUCCUCUGUUUUUGACUAGUAUUUCUCCUUUGUUAACUCUUGCCAACAAUGCCUCAAGUCAGCUGGAAGCAGUUAAAAGAAUACAUUGUCUUGUAAUCCCUGGUUGACAUGCUGAGUCAAAAGGGAACUCCCUUACAUAGGAAGACUCUGCAGUUUUAGGAAAGAAAUUUUAUUUUUAUACUAACCAUUUAGGAAUUAUAAGAGACAAUUUGGCCAAAGUUAGGAAAGGAUUGGCAAAGAAAAAAAAAAAAAAAAAAAAAGAAUUCAACUCUUCACAAGGAUGGCUUGAAUCCUGGUUUAAUAGUUAGCUCUCCUUGGUUAACCACCCUUAUUUCUGCUGUUAUAGGACCUUUACUGGUUUUGCUAAUUACUUUGACUGUUGGCCUAUGUAUAAUCAACAGACUGGUACAGUUUGUAAAACAAAGAUUUAGUCCCAUUCCAUUUAUGAUUCAUUGCACUAAUGCUAAUGUAUGUCAUUCUGCCUGUCAUUCCGUUCCCAAUGAAGAUGAAAUAGAAUUUGCAAGUUAUUCUCAUCAGGUUGAGGAACCUAGAGUUCAGGAUUGAACUCCACUUAGAACUCCCAGUGGGGAAUGAAAGGCCAGAAGAGAUUAGAAGAGAUUCCAUUUCUGUGCUGGGCCUUUUUGGAACCUUGAGCUACACCCCAGCCCCCAGGAUAAGCUGAAGGCCCUAGGACCCCUCUUUUUUCUUUCUUUCUUUCUUUUUUUCUUUAAGAUUUAUUUAUUAUGUAUACAACAUUCUGCCUCAAUGUAUGCCUGCACGCCAGAGGAGGGAGCCAGAUCUCAGUACAGAUGGUUGUGUGCCACCAUGUGGUUGCUGGGAAUUGAACUCAGGACCUCUGGAAGAGCAGCCAGUGCUCUUAACCUCUGGGCCAUCUCAUCAGCCCAAGGACUCCCCCCCCCUCCUUAGGGAAAGUUAAAGUUGCUGACUGCAGCCCAUUCCCCCACCCAAUUUCCCCUAUCAGCUGGGUGAUAUCAGCUGGGCAAUAUUUCAAGCAGCCCCUGUGGUUAGCACAGGGUCAGCAGAUGUGUGGAGGACGUAACCAGGGGCUGUUGCUCUCCCCCUUAGAUACUAAUAGCCAAUCAGGAACUAACAGCUGAGCUUUAUCCCACCUUUAGCCAAUUGUGAUAUAGGAUCAGUAAUUUUGUAUUUUGAGACUGUAACCUUGUGACUGCUUUGUGGUUUUUGUCUUUAUAAACCCCUUACAAAAAUAGAUGGGGUCCUUCUCCCUCCAUCUGCUGUGUCAGACUGUGAGGCAGAGGACCUGUACUAGCCUGCACUUAAUAAAGGAAACCUUGCUUUUGCAUUUGGAA
This is a long non-coding RNA of Arvicola amphibius (Eurasian water vole), 2051 nucleotides long. RefSeq lists it as uncharacterized. Lineage: Eukaryota; Metazoa; Chordata; Mammalia; Rodentia; Cricetidae. The record is from RefSeq and is a predicted model, not a curated record. The transcript is spliced from 4 exons.